RNAcentral lists this ribosomal RNA (468 nucleotides) under uncultured bacterium. RNAcentral describes it as "partial 16S ribosomal RNA". It matches the Rfam family "Bacterial small subunit ribosomal RNA", at positions 28 to 507 of the family's 1533-position model. The record is from RNAcentral.
GACGAACGCUGGCGGCGUGCUUAACACAUGCAAGUCGAACGGAAAGGCCCUGCUUUUGUGGUGUGCUCGAGUGGCGAACGGGUGAGUAACACGUGAGUAACCUGCCCUUGACUUUGGGAUAACUUCAGGAAACUGGGGCUAAUACCGGAUAGGAGCUCCUGCUGCAUGGUGGGGGUUGGAAAGUUUCGGCGGUUGGGGUUGGACUCGCGGCUUAUCAGCUUGUUGGUGGGGUAGUGGCUUACCAAGGCUUUGACGGGUAGCCGGCCUGAGAGGGUGACCGGCCACAUUGGGACUGAGAUACGGCCCAGACUCCUACGGGAGGCAGCAGUGGGGAAUAUUGCACAAUGGGCGGAAGCCGGAUGCAGCAACGCCGCGUGCGGGAUGACGGCCUUCGGGUUGUAAACCGCUUUCGCCUGUGACGAAGCGUGAGUGACGGUAAUGGGUAAAGAAGCACCGGCUAACUACGUG